AUACAAAGGCGGUAAAACGGACUUCUAAUCCGUGGGCCGGGGGUUCGAAUCCCUC
This 55-nucleotide transfer RNA is filed under the name Desulfotomaculum copahuensis. It matches the Rfam family "tRNA", at positions 10 to 63 of the family's 71-position model. From Rfam's summary of the family: Transfer RNA (tRNA) molecules are approximately 80 nucleotides in length. Their secondary structure includes four short double-helical elements and three loops (D, anti-codon, and T loops). Further hydrogen bonds mediate the characteristic L-shaped molecular structure. tRNAs have two regions of fundamental functional importance: the anti-codon, which is responsible for specific mRNA codon recognition, and the 3' end, to which the tRNAs corresponding amino acid is attached (by aminoacyl-tRNA synthetases). tRNAs cope with the degeneracy of the genetic code in two manners: having more than one tRNA (with a specific anti-codon) for a particular amino acid; and 'wobble' base-pairing, i.e. permitting non-standard base-pairing at the 3rd anti-codon position. Lineage: Bacteria; Bacillati; Bacillota; Clostridia; Eubacteriales; Desulfotomaculaceae. The record is from Rfam by way of RNAcentral.